GCGAAUGUGGCGUAACUGGAUAGCGCAACUGGCUACGAACCAGUAGGUUGCAGGUUCGAGUCCUGCCACUCGCA
RNAcentral lists this transfer RNA (74 nucleotides) under Fibrobacter intestinalis. RNAcentral's name for it is "tRNA_Arg_ACG". It matches the Rfam family "tRNA". From Rfam's summary of the family: Transfer RNA (tRNA) molecules are approximately 80 nucleotides in length. Their secondary structure includes four short double-helical elements and three loops (D, anti-codon, and T loops). Lineage: Bacteria; Pseudomonadati; Fibrobacterota; Fibrobacteria; Fibrobacterales; Fibrobacteraceae. RNAcentral also lists the same sequence under 6 other names. The record is from RNAcentral.